AAGAACCAACAGGGAUUGCCCCAGUAACGGCGAGUGAAGCGGCAACAGCUCAAAUUUGAAAUCUGGCCCCCGGGUCCGAGUUGUAAUUUGCAGAGGAUGCUUCGGGCGAGGUGCCUUCCGAGUUCCCUGGAACGGGACGCCACAGAGGGUGAGAGCCCCGUCUGGUCGGACACCGAGCCCGUGUGAAGCUCCUUCGAAGAGUCGAGUAGUUUGGGAAUGCUGCUCAAAAUGGGAGGUAUAUGUCUUCUAAAGCUAAAUAUUGGCCAGAGACCGAUAGCGCACAAGUAGAGUGAUCGAAAGAUGAAAAGCACUUUGAAAAGAGGGUUAAAAAGUACGUGAAAUUGUUGAAAGGGAAGCGCCCAUGACCAGACUUGGGCCCGGUGAAUCACCCGGCGUUCUCGCCGGUGCACUUUGCCGGGCACAGGCCAGCAUCAGUUUGGCGCGGGGGACAAAGGCUUCGGGAACGUGGCUCCCUCGGGAGUGUUAUAGCCCGCUGCGUAAUACCCUGCGCCGGACUGAGGUACGCGCAUCGCAAGGAUGCUGGCGUAAUGGUCAUCAGCGACCCGUCUUGAAACACGGACCAAGGAGUCGUCUUCGUAUGCGAGUGUUCGGGUGUCAAACCCCUACGCGGAAUGAAAGUGAACGCAGGUGAGAGCUUCGGCGCAUCAUCGACCGAUCCUGAUGUUCUCGGAUGGAUUUGAGUAAGAGCAUACGGGGCCGGACCCGAAAGAAGGUGAACUAUGCCUGUAUAGGGUGAAGCCAGAGGAAACUCUGGUGGAAGCUCGCAGCGGUUCUGACGUGCGAAUCGAUCGUCAAAUAUGGGCAUGGGGGCGAAAGACUAAUCGAACCUUCUAGUAGC
RNAcentral lists this ribosomal RNA (859 nucleotides) under Cordyceps tenuipes. Its description in RNAcentral is "partial large subunit ribosomal RNA". It matches the Rfam family "Eukaryotic large subunit ribosomal RNA", at positions 56 to 951 of the family's 3401-position model. The record is from RNAcentral. Lineage: Eukaryota; Fungi; Ascomycota; Sordariomycetes; Hypocreales; Cordycipitaceae.